RNAcentral lists this ribosomal RNA (253 nucleotides) under uncultured bacterium. RNAcentral's name for it is "partial 16S ribosomal RNA". It matches the Rfam family "Bacterial small subunit ribosomal RNA", at positions 524 to 776 of the family's 1533-position model. The record is from RNAcentral.
UACAGAGGUUGCAAGCGUUAAUCGGAAUUACUGGGCGUAAAGCGCGCGUAGGCGGCUACUUAAGUCGGAUGUGAAAUCCCUGGGCUCAACCUAGGAAUUGCAUUCGAUACUGGCUAGCUCGAGUUUGGUAGAGGAGAGUGGAAUUCCCGGUGUAGCGGUGAAAUGCGUAGAUAUGGGGAGGAACAUCAGUGGCGAAGGCGGCUCUCUGGACCAAAACUGACGCUGAGGCGCGACAGCGUGGGGAUCAAACAGG